AAAAAGGUUCUUUUAGGAACCAUUACCUAAGGUCUUUAAAUCCUUC
Cephalotus follicularis is the source of this 46-nucleotide non-coding RNA. Lineage: Eukaryota; Viridiplantae; Streptophyta; Magnoliopsida; Oxalidales; Cephalotaceae. The record is from Rfam.